RNAcentral lists this ribosomal RNA (812 nucleotides) under Vibrio parahaemolyticus. RNAcentral's name for it is "partial 23S ribosomal RNA". It matches the Rfam family "Bacterial large subunit ribosomal RNA", at positions 1124 to 1920 of the family's 2925-position model. The record is from RNAcentral. Lineage: Bacteria; Pseudomonadati; Pseudomonadota; Gammaproteobacteria; Vibrionales; Vibrionaceae.
UAAAGAAAGCGUAAUAGCUCACUGGUCGAGUCGGCCUGCGCGGAAGAUGUAACGGGGCUAAGUAGUAAACCGAAGCUGCGGCAAUGUGCUUUUGCACAUUGGGUAGGGGAGCGUUCUGUAAGCGGUUGAAGGUGUGUGGUAACGCAUGCUGGACGUAUCAGAAGUGCGAAUGCUGACAUGAGUAACGAUAAAGGGGGUGAAAAACCUCCUCGCCGGAAGACCAAGGGUUCCUGUCCAACGUUAAUCGGGGCAGGGUAAGUCGACCCCUAAGGCGAGGCCGAAAGGCGUAGUCGAUGGGAAACGGGUUAAUAUUCCCGUACUUCUUACAAUUGCGAUGGGGGGACGGAGAAGGCUAGGUGGGCCUGGCGACGGUUGUCCAGGUUCAAGUGCGUAGGCUUAAGAGUUAGGUAAAUCCGGCUCUUUUUAAGGCUGAGACACGACGUCGAGCACCUACGGGUGUGAAGUCAUUGAUGCCAUGCUUCCAGGAAAAGCCUCUAAGCUUCAGAUUGUAAGGAAUCGUACCCCAAACCGACACAGGUGGUCGGGUAGAGAAUACCAAGGCGCUUGAGAGAACUCGGGUGAAGGAACUAGGCAAAAUGGUACCGUAACUUCGGGAGAAGGUACGCUCUUGAUGGUGAAGUCCCUUGCGGAUGGAGCUGACGAGAGUCGCAGAUACCAGGUGGCUGCAACUGUUUAUUAAAAACACAGCACUGUGCAAAAUCGUAAGAUGACGUAUACGGUGUGACGCCUGCCCGGUGCCGGAAGGUUAAUUGAUGGGGUUAGACUUCGGUCGAAGCUCUUGAUCGAAGCCC